CUUAACACAUGCAAGUCGAGGGGUAACGGGGCGUAGCAAUACGCUGCCGACGACCGGCGCACGGGUGCGUAACGCGUAUGCAACCUACCUUGUACAGGGGGAUAACGGAGUGAAAAUUCCACUAAUAUCCCAUGGUGUUGGAGAUUCGCAUGUUUCUCCAACUAAAGCUUCGGUGGUACAAGAUGGGCAUGCGUGACAUUAGCUAGUUGGUAGGGCAACGGCCUACCAAGGCGACGAUGUCUAGGGGAGCUGAGAGGCUUAUCCCCCACACUGGUACUGAGACACGGACCAGACUCCUACGGGAGGCAGCAGUGAGGAAUAUUGGUCAAUGGACGGAAGUCUGAACCAGCCAUGCCGCGUGGAGGAAGAAGGUCCUAUGGGUUGUAAACUCCUUUUGUUCCGGAGUAAUAAGUGCCUUGCGAGGCACGAUGAGAGUACGGGACGAAUAAGCAUCGGCUAACUCCGUGCCAGCAGCCGCGGUAAUACGGAGGAUGCAAGCGUUAUCCGGAUUUAUUGGGUUUAAAGGGUGCGCAGGCGGCGCGUUAAGUCAGUGGUGAAAUGUCCCGGCUCAACCGGGGAACUGCCGCUGAUACUGACGAGCUCGAGUACGGACGGCGCCGGCGGAAUGUGUCAUGUAGCGGUGAAAUGCUUAGAUAUGCCACAGAACACCGAUCGCGAAGGCAGCUGGCGAGGCCGGUACUGACGCUCAGGCACGAAAGCGUGGGGAUCAAACAGGAUUAGAUACCCUGGUAGUCCACGCAGUAAACGAUGAGGACUUGUUGUCGGCGAUAGAGUGUCGGUGACAAAGCGAAAGCGAUAAGUCCUCCACCUGGGGAGUACGAUCGCAAGGUUGAAACUCAAAGGAAUUGACGGGGGCCCGCACAAGCGGAGGAGCAUGUGGUUUAAUUCGAUGAUACGCGAGGAACCUUACCUGGACUCAAAUGUUGACUGACAGGUCUAGAAAUAGACUCUUCCUUCGGGACAGUCAGCAAGGUGCUGCAUGUUGUCGUCAGCUCGUGCCGUGAGGUGUCAGUAAGUCCUAUAACGAGCGCAACCCCUACGUCCAGUGGCAGCGGGUAAGCCGGGGACUCUGGAGAACUGCUACUCAAGUAAGAAGAAGGUGGGAUGACGUCAUCACACGGCCUACUUCAGGCGACACGUCUACAUGUGCGUCCGAGAGAACCCCCUGCGAGGGACGAAUCGAAUCCGCCCAGUCGAUCGAUUCGAAUCAUCGAUGUAAUCUUAAUCGCAUACAUGCGCGAUCCAUACAGGCCUGGACU
RNAcentral lists this ribosomal RNA (1280 nucleotides) under uncultured rumen bacterium. RNAcentral's name for it is "partial 16S ribosomal RNA". It matches the Rfam family "Bacterial small subunit ribosomal RNA", at positions 47 to 1306 of the family's 1533-position model. The record is from RNAcentral.